UCGAUUGAUGCAGGUCAGUUUUUCCCUCCUUCUAUGCCCGGUCCCGGGCAACAUUGAUCCCGGUCAAUAUUCUCUCCUGCCCAAAUGGUUACCUUGGCUCCAUCGCAACAGGGCAACUGCAGGAGACGCGUCAUGUUUUUCGACAACGUGGUGAUCGCCGGAGUGCUGACCGUCAGCCUCAUGUUGGUGUUUUUUGCAGGGUUCGGAUUCUUUAUCUGGAAAGACUCGCACAAGCGCAAAAAGCCGUAGGUCUUUCUGGAUGCAAUGAGCACGCAAGGCAUUUUGGGCAACUUCGGUUGCCCUUU
Molecule: unclassified non-coding RNA, 305 nt
Filed under: Pseudomonas umsongensis
Lineage: Bacteria; Pseudomonadati; Pseudomonadota; Gammaproteobacteria; Pseudomonadales; Pseudomonadaceae
Description: Pseudomonas sRNA P20
Rfam family: PhrS (bases 94-305)
Source: RNAcentral